ACUAAACCCCACCCCAUCAACACCACCGUUAUAUUAUAUACCCCUCUGCUACGUCUUCCUUCCUGAACGUCUUUCCUUCACGCACCAAGAGCUUAUCCCUAUCAGAAUCUAAAGAAUAUGAGUUUCAAAGACCUUGUGAAAGCUACCCUCUGUGCAUGCUCCAUUCCUGGAACAGCUCAUCUCCUCCCAGUCAUAGUCACCUGAAAAAAUAUGAAUUUCUGAAAAUACAUGCUUCAGCUCUAUUAAUAUCUGUCAUUGUUUGGAGCAAAGCCAAGUGACAAGAAGGAAGCGUUUAUUAGUAUCAACAUGUAACCCUAUGUAGAAGACCAAUGCACUCUCUAUAAAUCCCAAAACUGAGACAAAAGCUGAAUUGUAACUUCAUUGGCAAAUAAAGCAUAUAUUUAUUUUUCUCUAAAGGGCGCACAGAAGCCUGAAGUUUGACUUCAGACUUCUUUUUGAACCUCAGAAGAAUUAGCGCUAUUAAAGCUGGUCGGCUUUCAGAAGGUCCUUUGAGGGUGUCAUUUUACAUUUCAGAAGUUAAAUUUUUAAGUUUCAGGGAUAAAGUCAUGUCUACAUCAACUGCAGCAGAGAAAACGUUCUUACUCUCAGGCCUAUUUUCAUGAGAACAGUAAAGGAACUUCUACAUGCAUUGACUUCUGGAGCACUAAGGAUUGUCUUUUAGUCUUUGGCCAGCGGUACAAAAUGUGGGUGAAUAUGGGAGAAGUGACAGUUUUGAGACUUCGUGAAUGUAGCUGUGGUAAGAAGACCACUUCUGAUCAGUUUGUACAGACUGACUUCUGCGCAGUAAUGGAAAACCCCCCCUAA
RNAcentral lists this long non-coding RNA (825 nucleotides) under Struthio camelus australis. RNAcentral's name for it is "lncRNA (ENSSCUG00000016016.1)". The record is from RNAcentral. Lineage: Eukaryota; Metazoa; Chordata; Aves; Struthioniformes; Struthionidae.